RNAcentral lists this ribosomal RNA (406 nucleotides) under uncultured bacterium. RNAcentral describes it as "partial 16S ribosomal RNA". It matches the Rfam family "Bacterial small subunit ribosomal RNA", at positions 30 to 526 of the family's 1533-position model. The record is from RNAcentral.
AUUGAACGCUGGCGGCAGGCCUAACACAUGCAAGUCGAACGAGUGGCGGACGGGUGAGUAAUGUCUGGGAAACUGCCUGAUGGAGGGGGAUAACUACUGGAAACGGUAGCUAAUACCGCAUACCAUCGGAUGUGCCCAGAUGGGAUUAGUUAGUAGGUGGGGUAAAGGCUCAACCAGGCGACGUUCCCUAGCUGGUCUGAGAGGAUGACCAGCCACACUGAGGCUGAGACACGGUCCAGACUCCUACGGGAGGCAGCAGUGGGGAAUAGUGCGCAAUGGGCGCAAGCCUAUUGCAGCCAUGCCGCGGGUAUGAAGAAGCCCUUCGGGUUGUAAAGUACUUUCAGCGGGGAGGCGUUACCCGCAGAAGAAGCACCGGCUAACUCCGUGCCAGCAGCCGCGGUAAUAC